RNAcentral lists this unclassified non-coding RNA (198 nucleotides) under Basidiomycota sp. RNAcentral describes it as "partial contains small subunit ribosomal RNA, internal transcribed spacer 1, and 5.8S ribosomal RNA". The stretch from base 1 to 47 matches the Rfam family "Eukaryotic small subunit ribosomal RNA", at positions 1785 to 1831 of the family's 1831-position model. Lineage: Eukaryota; Fungi; Basidiomycota. The record is from RNAcentral.
AAAGUCGUAACAAGGUUUCCGUAGGUGAACCUGCGGAAGGAUCAUUAUUGAAUUUAUUCUUUCUAUCAAUGUGCACGAACAAUGAUUGAGAUAUCGAUUUAAUUCGAUACUCAUCAUAUACUUUUUUACAUGAGUUAAUUUACAAGUAAUACUUUAAAGUAUCCAAUACAACUUUUAGCAAUGGAUCUCUUGGCUCUC